RNAcentral lists this transfer RNA (74 nucleotides) under Euglena agilis. Its description in RNAcentral is "tRNA-Asp". Lineage: Eukaryota; Euglenozoa; Euglenophyceae; Euglenales; Euglenaceae. The record is from RNAcentral.
AAGAAUUGUAAUUCAACUGUUAGAGCAUCGCCCUGUCAGGAAAGAAGUCGCAGGUUCAAUUCCGGGCAAUUCUA